This is an unclassified non-coding RNA of Erinaceus europaeus (western European hedgehog), 343 nucleotides long. Its record names the gene 7SK. It matches the Rfam family "7SK RNA". From Rfam's summary of the family: 7SK was discovered as an abundant small nuclear RNA in the mid-70s but a possible function has only recently been suggested. The record is from Ensembl. NCBI's taxonomy places the organism in Eukaryota, Metazoa, Chordata, Mammalia, Eulipotyphla, Erinaceidae.
GGAUAUGAGGGCGAUCUGGCUGCAACAUCUGUCACCCCAUUGAUCGCCAGGAUUGAUUCAGCUGAUCUUGCUGGCUAGGCGGGUGUCCCCUUCCUCCCUCAUCACUCCAUGUGCGUCCCUCCUGAAGCUGUGUGCUCAGUAGAAGUGGACAGCCUUCCCCGAAUACAGACGGAUGGUCUUCAGUUGAGGGUACAGGAGUAGCUGUGCCCCAUUACUAGAACCUCCAAACAAGCUCUCAAGGUCCACAAAAUACUUAAAAGAACAGUCAUAGGGUGGUGGUGGGGAAGAGUACAGGUCCUGGAAAAAGAUGACAGAGGAACUAGUGGCGGUAGUAUUGUUAUGU